CGCAUAAUGCAGCGGCACCUAAUGGUGACAGUUGUUAAAGCGGGGUUAGUCGCAAGACCCUCGCGCCUGAAGAGGAGCCCGCGGCGGAUUAGCUAGUUGGCAGGGUAACGGCCUACCAAGGCGACGAUCCGUAGCCGGCCUGAGAGGGCGGUCGGCCACACUGGCACUGACAUACGGGCCAGACUCCUACGGGAGGCAGCAGUCGGGAAUUUUGGGCAAUGGGCGAAAGCCUGACCCAGCAACGCCGCGUGAAGGAUGAAGCUUUUCGGAGUGUAAACUUCACAAGAAUGGGAAGAAUAAGUGGGGGAUAAUACCCCCCAUGAUGACGGUACCAUUUGUAAGCUCCGGCUAACUCCGUGCCAGCAGCCGCGGUAAUACGGGGGGAGCAAGCGUUGUUCGGAUUUACUGGGCGUAAAGGGCGCGUAGGCGGCGCAACAAGUCACUUGUGAAAUCUCCGGGCUUAACUCGGAGCGGCCAAGUGAUACUGUCGUGCUAGAGUGCGGAAGGGGCUACUGGAAUUCUCGGUGUAGCGGUGAAAUGCGUAGAUAUCGAGAGGAACACCUGCGGCGAAGGCGGGUAGCUGGGCCGACACUGACGCUGAGGCGCGAAAGCCAGGGGAGCGAACG
Molecule: ribosomal RNA, 626 nt
Filed under: uncultured soil bacterium
Lineage: Bacteria
Description: bacterial SSU rRNA
Rfam family: Bacterial small subunit ribosomal RNA
Source: RNAcentral